This 72-nucleotide transfer RNA is filed under the name Clytia hemisphaerica. RNAcentral describes it as "tRNA-Gln for anticodon UUG". It matches the Rfam family "tRNA". Rfam says of the family: Transfer RNA (tRNA) molecules are approximately 80 nucleotides in length. Lineage: Eukaryota; Metazoa; Cnidaria; Hydrozoa; Leptothecata; Clytiidae. The record is from Rfam by way of RNAcentral.
GGUUCCAUGGUGUAAUGGUUAGCACUCCAGAUCUUGAAUCUAGCGAACCGAGUUCAAGUCUUGGUGGAACCU